GGUGAGUAAUGCCUAGGAAUCUGCCUGGUAGUGGGGGACAACGUUUCGAAAGGAACGCUAAUACCGCAUACGUCCUACGGGAGAAAGCAGGGGACCUUCGGACCUUGCGCUAUCAGAUGAGCCUAGGUCGGAUUAGCUAGUUGGUGAGGUAAUGGCUCACCAAGGCGACGAUCCGUAACUGGUCUGAGAGGAUGAUCAGUCACACUGGAACUGAGACACGGUCCAG
Molecule: ribosomal RNA, 226 nt
Filed under: uncultured Pseudomonadales bacterium
Lineage: Bacteria; Pseudomonadati; Pseudomonadota; Gammaproteobacteria; Pseudomonadales
Description: partial 16S ribosomal RNA
Rfam family: Bacterial small subunit ribosomal RNA
Source: RNAcentral